Molecule: long non-coding RNA, 1782 nt
Organism: Pseudomyrmex gracilis
Lineage: Eukaryota; Metazoa; Arthropoda; Insecta; Hymenoptera; Formicidae
Exons: 3
Source: RefSeq, a predicted model, not a curated record
CGCGAUCAUAGGUACUUCCUAUUUCUCGGCCGCGCGAUCACUCACUGAUCUCCGUUGUCAUCUGUCGUGAGGUUCCGCACGUCGCGAAACUCUAGACGGUCUUAUCGGCGCGCUCCAGGUGGAAAUAGCAAAAACAGUACACGCCAUCGGUACAGCUGGCAGAGAAAGGAGAGUGUUCGACGACGAGUUCGAUAAAGAUGCAAGACACGAACGCGAGUCAGCAAGUCGCGUGCGACGAUCACGCGCUCGACAAGGAUUGCUCGAAAUUUUGCCGUCUCCUGAGCGUCACGCUGAGCAAUAUUAUCAAGCACAGUGUGAACGGUGAGUUUCGAAGCGAUUGUUUCAGAACGUUGAAGACCGACAACUCGUUCGGCGCGCAAACGACUCUCGCCUCUGGUUUGUCGGCGAUUGUGGCGCGCGAUAAAAAAGAUCGCGUCGCUCAAAAGAGGACGGACAAUGGAAACGACGGGAAAAGUGACUGAAACAAUGUCAGUGAGGUGCAAUUGUCAAAAGAAAAACAAAACUCAGUCACGCAAACAAUGCCGAAAAAAUUUGCGUGACGAAAAACUACACAACAAUCGUCACUUCGCAAUUUUGUUUUUGUUUCCGCAAUUGGUUUCGUCAAAUCAAACACAAGGAUUUUAAUUAAACAUUUUCGACAUAAUUUUAUUUGUAAGGAUUACACUUGGGAUUUGUUCUUUACAAUUUUUAUUGUAAGGAUCAGAAGGAAUUAAUAAGGUUUUUUUUUCUUUUUAUAUUAAAUGUAGAGCGUAAUGAGAGAGAGUGACACAUUGUUCGGUCUAUAUAAUACUAUUAUUUUUUUUUUCGUUAUAUUUCAUGACUCUUUGAUACAUACAAAGCAGUUCAAUUAUUAUAUAUUUGCUAGUGUAACAGUACAAAGAAUACGAGUAAAUAUAAAAAUCCAAGAAUAAUAAUAAUAAUAAUAAUAAUAAUAAUAAUUACAAAGAAUUGUUAUUAAAGCUUCUCUAACAAUAAUAAAAUUAAUAUAUCUCUUUCUUCGUGUGUUCGUAUAUAAUAAAUUAACAACGAACUUUAAAAAUCUUUCGUUACAAUUCAGCUAAAGAUAAUCGACGAGAUAGGAGAGACAAAGAUGAAGUAACUUGGAGAAAUAAAGAAAUAAAUUUGUUUCAUGUCGUCAUCUUUGUCGCGUGAUCUGUGUUUUUUUUUUUUUUUUUGUUCGAUAUUGAAUCCUUCGCGAUGAGAUUCAAGUGAAAAAAAACAAUAGCAAACAGAUCGAAUAGAAAACAAAAACAAAAGAUAUAAAAACAUUUUAGCGGAAUUGCAUAAAUAAUGGUAAUAAUCGUCGUCAAAUGCAACAUCGUAUAAUCCGCUCGUAAAGUAGUACAAAUAAGCCCAAAAAGUAUAUAGCGUAUACAACACGAAUCAAUAUAUGUAUAAAUAUAUUAUGAAAACUAGACGAGAGUGUUGAGAUUUUUAAUGUAACAAAGUCUAUAUAUAUAUAUAUAUAUAUAUCGCUAUCGUUUUGUUUAGUUUUGUUGUUUUUUUUUUUUUUUUUUUUUUUUAGAUACCUGUUUGUUCGAUGUUCCAUUCUAAUUAUUAGUUGCCCUGUUGUAUAUAAUAAUUCAGUGUUUUCAGAAACCGAAAAGAUGCAAAACUGCGAGAUAGGACACGCGAGAGGGAGAUCAAUCAAUUCAAGUAACUGUGUUCUACAAUUUUACACUUUGCUCUAAAAUGCAGAUUGAAUACUGAAUAAUCGCGUUUGUUUGUUUGUUUGUUUUUUUUUUUUUUUUGCGCCAUUAA